Molecule: long non-coding RNA, 659 nt
Organism: Lontra canadensis (Northern American river otter)
Lineage: Eukaryota; Metazoa; Chordata; Mammalia; Carnivora; Mustelidae
Exons: 4
Source: RefSeq, a predicted model, not a curated record
UCAGAUUUCUUAGGGCUUGUUUUAUGGACCCAGGAUAUGAUCUGUCUUGGUGAAUAUUCCACACACACGUGAGGAGAUGUGCGUUCAGCUGUUGAGUGUGUGGAGUGUUACAUAGAUAUCCAUUAGAUCUAGUUGGUUGAUGGUGUUCAGUUUUUCUAUAUUUUUGCUGGUUUUCUGUUUACGAGGUCUGCUGAUUACUGAGAGAGGAGUAUUGAAGGUUUCAACAAAAAUUAUGGCUUUUUCUGUUUCCCUUCCAGAUCUCACUACUUGUCCAAUCCACUCUGAUGUUGCAGUGUUAGGUACAUACAUAGUUGGAACUGAAACCAGAUGGAUCCUGAAGAGCAACCAGAUCACUGGAAGCUUAAACAGGCAGCGACAGCUGCUUUGUCAGACAUGGUAUCUGUGCCUGGAAUAGAAGACCAGUACCGAUAAGGCUUUGUGGACUCCAGAGGCACCACAUUCAUCAUCCAGCAAUACUGUGGAACACUUCCACAGGGAAGGCUGCCAUCUUUGAGUGAGGCCUGCAGUGGGAACGGACUUCACUUCAGAGUGUUCUGCAAACACUUGCCACUUCUGUCCUGUGAUCUACAGGCCCUGAGGGAGAUCUUCUCAAUGUCAUCAAUGACUUUACCCCAGCCCUUGCCCUUCUUUGAGCAUGA